RNAcentral lists this ribosomal RNA (465 nucleotides) under uncultured bacterium. RNAcentral describes it as "bacterial SSU rRNA". It matches the Rfam family "Bacterial small subunit ribosomal RNA", at positions 338 to 795 of the family's 1533-position model. The record is from RNAcentral.
CCUACGGGUUGCAGCAGUGGGGAAUAUUGCACAAUGGGCGCAAGCCUGAUGCAGCCAUGCCGCGUGUAUGAAGAAGGCCCUAGGGUUGUAAAGUACUUUCAGUCGGGAGGAAGGCGUUGAUGCUAAUAUCGUCUACGAUUGACGUUACCGACAGAUGAAGCACCGGCUAACUCCGUGCCAGCAGCCGCGGUAAUACGGAGGGUGCAAGCGUUAAUCGGAAUUACUGGGCGUAAAGCGCACGCAGGCGGUUGAUUAAGUUAGAUGUGAAAUCCCCGGGCUUAACCUGGGAAUGGCAUCUAAGACUGGUCAGCUAGAGUCUUGUAGAGGGGGGUAGAAUUCCAUGUGUAGCGGUGAAAUGCGUAGAGAUGUGGAGGAAUACCGGUGGCGAAGGCGGCCCCCUGGACAAAGACUGACGCUCAGGUGCGAAAGCGUGGGGAGCAAACAGGAUUAGAUACCCCUGUAGUC